Molecule: non-coding RNA, 265 nt
Organism: Triticum aestivum (bread wheat)
Lineage: Eukaryota; Viridiplantae; Streptophyta; Magnoliopsida; Poales; Poaceae
Source: Rfam
CUACAGACUUGAUUGUAUUGAGCCUUGGUAUGGAAACCUUCUAAGUGGUAACUUCCAAAUUCAGAGAAACCCUGGAAUUAAAAAAGGGCAAUCCUGAGCCAAAUCCGUGUUUUGAGAAAACAAGGGGUUCUCGAACUAGAAUACAAAGGAAAAGGAUAGGUGCAGAGACUCAAUGGAAGCUGUUCUAACGAAUCGAGUUAAUUACGUUGUGUUGUUAGUGGAAUUCCUUCUAAUUCUAANUAAUUCUAAAUUAGAGAAAGAGGGG